UUCAUGUAACCAAGCACUGCUGAAUCUGGAAAGGUGGAAAAGGAAGUUGACCAUGAGAGGACCUCCAGAUGAGAAUUUCUCUCUACUUCACACGUUUAAUUUCUGUAAAACUUUGUCGCCAUUGACCCCUGCUUUUCAGUGAAAGCCCUAAAAGCCCUACAUCUGCCAAAAAUUCUACUACAAACCUGUGUGCAAACGCAAACUUCUGUUGCCAGAGACAGUCAACAGCAUUCACAGCAAGUUCAGCAAGUACAUGCAGGCAUCACUUUGUGAGGAAUCUGUUGUCAGAAAUCCUCUGUUCUUCUUCAUGAGGAAUCUGUUGCCAGAAAACCCGUUCUCAUGGUUUUCGGUUCCUCUUUUAUCCUUCUUGUUCUCCUGCUGAUGUGACAAGGAUGGGCCUUGACCAAGAGACAUUGAGUACCCCCUGAGAUGGCCAUCAUCCUGAGGUAAGCCCCCACAAAAGAACACUUCACAGCGAUUUAGCUGCAGCUCAUCUCUCUCUCGUUGCCCCUGGCCUUGUCCAUCUGUGUCCCCCACACAAAGGAUUUCACAACCCUUACCUAGGACUUG
Molecule: long non-coding RNA, 570 nt
Organism: Tympanuchus pallidicinctus (lesser prairie-chicken)
Lineage: Eukaryota; Metazoa; Chordata; Aves; Galliformes; Phasianidae
Exons: 3
Source: RefSeq, a predicted model, not a curated record